This is a long non-coding RNA of Alligator sinensis (Chinese alligator), 617 nucleotides long. RefSeq lists it as uncharacterized. The record is from RefSeq and is a predicted model, not a curated record. The transcript is spliced from 3 exons. Lineage: Eukaryota; Metazoa; Chordata; Crocodylia; Alligatoridae.
GGGCUGGAGCCUGGCUUCCUUAGAGGAAAUGCAGUGGGUUCUGGGAAGCAUAGGCAGCCUCUGUUACAACAUCUCCCCCAGGGCUCCCUGCAAGCCCCACCAGCUCCCCACAGCCAGGGCCUUUGGAAGAGGUCCCCUCCUCCUGCUCUUAGUGGAUGCAGUACUACUUAUAAUUUUACACCAGAAUUGGUUCUGUCUCAAGCCAAGCUCCCACCCCCUCACUGACAGAAAAGAGUCAGCACCCACCACAAGCAAAGGACAAGGGCCUGUGUGACCCCCAGCCUGGUCAUGGCCUGGUUCCCUCCCCCUCUGCCCCAGAUGCUCUUCAGUUCAUGGAAGAAGACACCUCUUUCUACCUCCAGCAGCCUGCCUGCACCCUACCACAUAAGCCAAGGGAUGGUACACACCAACAACAAGCUUCUGGGGUGCAUGCAUGCUUAGAACUUCUCUUGGCAAAGGCUGGCCACCCCACGGCAGUGCAGACUGUCACAGAAGAGAUGCAUGCAGCACAUAUCCCUCCUGAUGCAACAACUACUAGACUAAGAAACUGAGCCCAGGUAGGCUGCCUGCUGUUUGCAGAGACCAGCCCCUGGGCUUACACAGCCCAAAAGCACUUC